AAUCGACGCUGGCGGCGUGCCUCAGACAUGCAAGUCGAACGCGAAAGUUUCCUUCGGGGAACAAGUAGAGUGGCGCACGGGUGAGUAACACGUAGGUAAUCUACCUUUGGAUGGGGAAUAACAAUCGGAAACGGUUGCUAAUACCGCAUAAUGCAGCGGCACCUAAUGGUGACAGUUGUUAAAGCGGGGGAUCGAAAGACCUCGCGUCUGAAGAGGAGCCUGCGGCGGAUUAGCUAGUUGGUAAGGUAAUGGCUUACCAAGGCUACGAUCCGUAACCGGCCUGAGAGGGCGGUCGGUCACACUGACACUGACAUACGGGUCAGACUCCGUACGGGAGGCAGCA
This 343-nucleotide ribosomal RNA is filed under the name uncultured bacterium. RNAcentral describes it as "bacterial SSU rRNA". It matches the Rfam family "Bacterial small subunit ribosomal RNA", at positions 32 to 353 of the family's 1533-position model. The record is from RNAcentral.